GUGGAUGUAGCUCAGUAGGUUAGAGCACCUGAUUGUGGUUCAGGGGGUCGAGGGUUCAAAUCCCUUCAUCCACCCCA
Molecule: transfer RNA, 77 nt
Filed under: Trueperaceae bacterium
Lineage: Bacteria; Thermotogati; Deinococcota; Deinococci; Trueperales; Trueperaceae
Also listed under: 1 other name
Description: tRNA-His
Rfam family: tRNA
About the family: Transfer RNA (tRNA) molecules are approximately 80 nucleotides in length. Their secondary structure includes four short double-helical elements and three loops (D, anti-codon, and T loops).
Source: RNAcentral